RNAcentral lists this non-coding RNA (928 nucleotides) under Boana pellucens. RNAcentral describes it as "partial small subunit ribosomal RNA". It matches the Rfam family "Microsporidia small subunit ribosomal RNA", at positions 263 to 1277 of the family's 1311-position model. The record is from RNAcentral. Lineage: Eukaryota; Metazoa; Chordata; Amphibia; Anura; Hylidae.
UGGUCNCUAGNCCUUGAAAUCAGUUUUUACUCUACUUAUACAUGCAAGUCUCCGCACCCCUGUGAGAACGCCCUUAAANUCCCUCUCAGGGACUAGGAGCUGGUAUCAGGCACAAUAAUUAGCCCAAGACACCUAGCUAUGCCACACCCACAAGGGAAUUCAGCAGUAAUUAACAUUGUUUAUAAGCGCCAGCUUGACUCAGUUAAAGUAAAAAGGGCAGGCAAAUACGGUGCCAGCCGCCGCGGUUACACCAUGUGGCCCAAAUUGAUUUUUUUNCGGCGUAAAGAGUGAUUAAAGANAACACCANUACUGUAGUUAAACUAUNAAUUAAGUCGUGAAAAGCUUAUUAACAAGAAACUCAANAAACGAAAGUCACUACANNNUCAAAAACAACUUGAACUCACAACAGCUAAGACACAAACUAGGAUUAGAGACCCUACUAUGCUUAGCCACAAACUUUUAUUUACANNNNNNNNCCCCAAACGCCAGGGAACUACGAGCNAAAGCUUAAAACCCAAGGGACUUGACGGUGCCCCAUAUCCCCCUAGAGGAGCCUGUCCUAUAAUCGAUAACCCCCGUUUAACCUCACCACUUUUAGCCUAAUCAGUCUGUAUACCUCCGUCGUCAGCUUACCACGUGAGUGAAUAUUNAGUAAGUUUAAUGUUCCNACAACUCAUCAAUACGUCAGGUCAAGGUGCAACUUAUAAAGUGGGAAGAGAUGGGCUACACUCUCUAACCUAGAGAACACGGAAGACCANCUAUGAAANACGGGUCUAAAGGUGGAUUUAGUAGUAAAAAAAGACAAAAGAGCUUUUUUUANACCCGGUCCUGGGGGUGUGUACACACCGCCCGUCACCCUCUUCGNCAGCCUNNUANAUUUAGUGUUUUACAUCAUCCCNGCACAGUAGAAGAGGUAUAGUCGUAACAU